UACGGAGGAUCCAAGCGUUUUCCGGAUUUAUUGGGUUUAAAGGGUGCGUAGGCGGCUUAUUAAGUCAGGGGUGAAAGACGGUGGCUCAACCAUCGCAGUGCCUUUGAUACUGAUGAGCUUGAAUGAACUUGAGGUAGGCGGAAUGUGACAAGUAGCGGUGAAAUGCAUAGAUAUGUCACAGAACACCAAUUGCGAAGGCAGCUUACUAAAGUUUAAUUGACGCUGAGGUGCGAAAGCGUGGGGAGCAAACAGG
Molecule: unclassified non-coding RNA, 253 nt
Filed under: uncultured Sphingobacteriales bacterium
Lineage: Bacteria; Pseudomonadati; Bacteroidota; Sphingobacteriia; Sphingobacteriales
Description: contains 16S-23S intergenic spacer region
Rfam family: Bacterial small subunit ribosomal RNA
Source: RNAcentral